Molecule: unclassified non-coding RNA, 281 nt
Filed under: Hevea brasiliensis (rubber tree)
Lineage: Eukaryota; Viridiplantae; Streptophyta; Magnoliopsida; Malpighiales; Euphorbiaceae
Source: RNAcentral
UUCAGGCUGAGCUCAAUUGCAAAAAUACAAAAAGAAAAUUGAAGGAAUCAAACAAAUUACCAGAAAAAUCAAUUCCGGACAGUAAAAUGCUUGGAUCUUCAAGAUUCCUACGCGCCAGGUCCAAUCACAAGCUUCAGGCUAUUAGAGCCGUAGAAAUAAAACCCAAAAUUAAAUCCAUAAAACUUGAAAACCCAACAAAAACUAAUGAAGAAAUCAAAGGGAGAAAACAAAAAAGAAAAGAAAAAGAGAGAGUUGAAAUCCCAACAACCACAAUAAGAAAA